CGCAUAUUGCGCCCUCUGGUAUUCCGGGGGGCACGCCUGUUCGAGCGUCAUUGAAUCAAUCAAGCCCCGCUUGGUAUUGGCGGUCUCCCGCGAGGGAGCCUCCGAAAAACAGCGGCGCGGUCGUCGGGAGAGGAAUGCACUGGGAUCUCACGAUCGCCAUUCUCGCCUCUCGCGGUCGCCGCCGGAAGCGCACCGUCCUCGGUGUACUUUUCAAAUGUAAAAUUGACCUCGGAUCAGGUGGGAUUACCCGCUGAACUUAA
RNAcentral lists this unclassified non-coding RNA (260 nucleotides) under Coenogonium luteum. RNAcentral's name for it is "partial contains 5.8S ribosomal RNA, internal transcribed spacer 2, and large subunit ribosomal RNA". Lineage: Eukaryota; Fungi; Ascomycota; Lecanoromycetes; Ostropales; Coenogoniaceae. The record is from RNAcentral.